UAUAUUCCAUGUGACAUUC
Molecule: non-coding RNA, 19 nt
Filed under: Arabidopsis thaliana (thale cress)
Lineage: Eukaryota; Viridiplantae; Streptophyta; Magnoliopsida; Brassicales; Brassicaceae
Source: RNAcentral